This 72-nucleotide transfer RNA is filed under the name Channa bleheri (rainbow snakehead). RNAcentral's name for it is "tRNA-Val". It matches the Rfam family "tRNA". Rfam says of the family: Transfer RNA (tRNA) molecules are approximately 80 nucleotides in length. Lineage: Eukaryota; Metazoa; Chordata; Actinopteri; Anabantiformes; Channidae. The record is from RNAcentral. RNAcentral also lists the same sequence under 1 other name.
CAGGGUGUAGCUAAAAUAGUAAAGCACCUCACUUACACCGAGAAACUAUCCGUGCAAGUCGGAUCCCCCUGA